UGGUUUGCACUAGAUAUGUUCCCAAUGAUGAAAGAUACAUAGGAUGCCAUUACCGAAGAAAGAAACUUGUUCUUCUGUUUUCCUGCAAUUUCUCGCUCUGUCAUAAGCUAAGAGCUGUAAAUGUACUUAAUGUUGCAUCGUCAAACAUGCAUGCCCCCAGAACAAGUAAACGCCCUUGGCUCUUUUAGGGAUGAAUGAGUUUGUGUGUGCAUGUUUCUGUAGUGUAGUAUGUUUUUGUUUCAGCAUGGAAUUCUCAGAUAGCAGAAGCCGCCGCUAUCAAGGCGGGCCAUGUUGGGCCCGGCCCACCUGGAAGUGCUGCCUGCAGCUCACAGGAUGUUCCUUCCUCCAGAGUUUGCUCGUGUCCUCCUCUACCACCACCCCAUCUCAAUACGAUCCGAUCUCCGAUUGUGCUGAGCUCCAUCGGAUCCGCUGCAGAACCUGGGAGCAGGAUCCGCGGUCGCGAGCCAUGGCGGGGAGGGCCAACAUCCCCACCAACAACUCCGCCCUCAUCGCCAUCAUCGCCGACGAGGACACCGUCACCGGCUUCUUGAUGGCCGGGGUUGGCAAUGUUGAUCUGCGCAAGAAAACCAACUACCUCCUCGUCGAUAACAAGACGACAGUGAAACAAAUUGAAGAUGCAUUCAAAGAGUUUACUGCCAGGGAGGAUAUUGCUAUUGUGCUCAUCAGUCAAUAUCUUAAUGAUAGGAACAGUAAUCCUGCCCCUAACUGAUCGGAGGUUAUACGUAUGAGAGAUUGGAGGACGGGGCUUGAACUGCGGUGGACGGCGGCGGGGCGCCGUGUUCGCGUAUGAGGAAGAAGUGGCGGCUAGGGUUGGGAACGCCGGCUCCUUGAGGAAGCCGGCAACAACUAGAUUGCCAACAUGAUACGAUUUCUGGUGGAUAGCUACAACAAGCCAGUCCCUGCUAUUCUGGAGAUCCCAUCCAAGGACCAUCCAUAUGAUCCAGCGCAUGACUCGGUGCUCUCUCGCGUGAAGUAUCUGUUUUCCUCAGAAUCAGUGGCAUCUGAUAGGCGAUGAAGACACCCUUUUGUAGUAGUACCCUUUGUUGUAUCUAUUUUGUUUCUUGUGUUGAAGAAAAGUUUGCUUGUACCAUCUGGUGUGAGGGACAGCAAGAAGCAUGAAUAAUGAGCUUGGAAACAAUAAUUGGGUUGAACCAAACCGAAAUGUAUUUUACAAGAUUGGGGUGCUGUUUGGUGCUUGUACUGAUUUGGUUUUAUAUGGAGAAUAAUUUGAGGCGUGAUUGUUGAUUG
RNA transcript from Panicum virgatum (switchgrass), 1269 nucleotides. It is a transcript of the gene named V-type proton ATPase subunit F-like, with no coding region annotated. The record is from RefSeq and is a predicted model, not a curated record. The transcript is spliced from 5 exons. NCBI's taxonomy places the organism in Eukaryota, Viridiplantae, Streptophyta, Magnoliopsida, Poales, Poaceae.